GACGUAGGAGGCGAGCGUUGUCCGGAUUCAUUGGGCGUAAAGAGCGCGCAGGCGGCUUGGUAAGUCGGAUGUGAAAUCCCGAGGCUCAACCUCGGGUCUGCAUCCGAUACUGCCCGGCUAGAGGUAGGUAGGGGAGAUCGGAAUUCCUGGUGUAGCGGUGAAAUGCGCAGAUAUCAGGAGGAACACCGGUGGCGAAGGCGGCAUCCUGGACCGGUAUUGACGCUGAGGCGCGAAAGCCAGGGGAGCAAACGGG
This 253-nucleotide ribosomal RNA is filed under the name uncultured bacterium. RNAcentral describes it as "partial 16S ribosomal RNA". It matches the Rfam family "Bacterial small subunit ribosomal RNA", at positions 524 to 776 of the family's 1533-position model. The record is from RNAcentral.